ACCUAUGGACUUUGCCAAAAAAAAUUUUCCAUGUGAACUUGAGUUUGCAAGGCCCUUUUUUCUUUCCCAAAAACUCUGCGUUCUGAUAAAGGACAUCUGUGACAAGAUGGAACUUGGCACCAGUAACUCAUGUACUAUGGGUGAAGCAUGCUCAGAAGAGGUAGUCCUGCGUCUUGUAAAUGGCUCUGGGUGAAUCCAAAGAACUGCAUGUGAUUUGUCAGGCGUUUUUAAGAUAAAUGGUAAAACUGAACUGGAAAUCCAUCUGGCCAGCUGCCUGAUCUAAUGAAUAACCCCACUUUGGCUCCUGCAAUGUAAGCAGAAAGAGUUCUCUCCCGGCCGCUUUCGUCUGUCAUGAAUCUACAAGACAGCCGACAUAAUAUCUGGGCGACAACAGCGUGCUAACAGUGCAGUGACUUCCAUUUUCUUUGCUUUCUAUUGAUUUUCACUUAAUAACUGGCGAAAUACUAAACGUCCGCCCUGAGUACCUAAUAAAUCCUGCCUGAGCUUUUUAUUGAGGAGAAUUUAAUAAA
Molecule: long non-coding RNA, 530 nt
Organism: Phasianus colchicus (ring-necked pheasant)
Lineage: Eukaryota; Metazoa; Chordata; Aves; Galliformes; Phasianidae
Source: RefSeq, a predicted model, not a curated record